AGGGUUUGAUUAUGGCUCAGGACGAACGCUGGCGGCGUGCCUAACACAUGCAAGUCGAACGGAGAUACGGUUUUUUUAAAUUGUAUCUCAGUGGCGAACGGGUGAGUAACGCGUGGGCAACCUGCCCUGUACAGAGGAAUAACCUGGGGAAACUCAGGCUAAUACCGCAUAAGACAUAUGUAUCGCAUGAUGGGUAUGUUAAAACUCCGGUGGUACAGGAUGGGCCCGCGUCCCAUUACCUGGUUGGUAAGGUAAAGGCUUACCAAGGCAACGCAUAGCGCUAGCCAGACCUGCAGAGGGUGUAACGGCCUACACUGGGAAUGAGACACGACCCAGACCUCUACGGGAGGCAGCAUGUGGGGAAUAUUGCGCAAUGGAAGAAACUCUGACGCAGCGACGCCGCGUGAGCGCAAGAAGGCUUUCGAGGGCGGAAGCGUCUGUUUCUUGGGGACGAAGAAGUGACGGUAGCCCAAGGAGAAAGCACCGUGCCUAACUUACGUGCCUAGCAGCCGCGGUAACAUCGUAGGGGGGCUAGCGUUGUCCGGAAAUACUGGGCGUAAAGGGGCGUGUAGGCCGCCCAUGUAAGUCAGGUGUGAAAGACCACGGCUUAACUGUGGUAUAGCACUUGAAACUAUACGGCUUUGAGUACAGGAGAGGGAAACGGGGAUUCCUGGUGUAGCGGUGAAAUGCGUAGAUAUCAGGAGGAACACCAGUGGCGAAGGCGGUUUCCUGGACUGUAACUGACGCUGAGGCGCCAAAGCGUGGGUAGCGAACAAGAUUAGAUACCCUGGUAGUCCACCCUGGAAACGAUGGAUACUAGGUGUGGGUAGUUCAGACUAUCCGUGCCGCAGCUAACGCAUUAAGUAUCCCGCCUGGGGAGUACGGCCGCAAGGUUGAAACUCAAAGGAAUUGACGUGGGCCCGCACAAGCAGCGGAGCAUGUGGUUUAAUUCGAAGCAACGCGAAGAACCUUACCAGGACUUGACAUCCCCUGUAAGGCUUAGAGAUAGGCUUUUCCCUUUUGGGACAGGGAGACAGGUGGUGCAUGGUUGUCGUCAGCUCGUGUCGUGAGAUGUUGGGUUAAGUCCCGCAACGAGCGCAACCCUUAUGGCUAGUUGCCAGCAUUUAGGAUGGGCACUCUAGCGAGACUGCCGGGGACAACUCGGAGGAAGGUGGGGAUGAGGUCAAAUCAUCAUGCCCCUUAUGUCCUGGGCUACACACGUGCUACAAUGGCCGGUACAGAGGGAAGCGAUGGAGCAAUCCGGAGCCAAUCCCAAAAAGCCGGUCUCAGUUCGGAUUGUGGGCUGCAACUCGCCCACACGAAGUAGGAGUUGCUAGUAAUCGCGGAUCAGCAAUGCCGCGGUGAAUACGUUCCCGGGCCUUGUACACACCGCCCGUCACACCGCGGAAGUUGGGGGCACCCGAAGCCGGUUUAACACCGUCUAAGGUGAAAUCAAUGACUGGGGGGAAGUCGUAACAAGGUAACC
This 1486-nucleotide ribosomal RNA is filed under the name uncultured Clostridia bacterium. RNAcentral describes it as "bacterial SSU rRNA". It matches the Rfam family "Bacterial small subunit ribosomal RNA". Lineage: Bacteria; Bacillati; Bacillota; Clostridia. The record is from RNAcentral.